RNAcentral lists this ribosomal RNA (493 nucleotides) under uncultured Glomus. RNAcentral's name for it is "eukaryotic LSU rRNA". The stretch from base 144 to 297 matches the Rfam family "5.8S ribosomal RNA". Lineage: Eukaryota; Fungi; Glomeromycota; Glomeromycetes; Glomerales; Glomeraceae. The record is from RNAcentral.
AAGGUUUCCGUAGGUGAACCUGCGGAAGGAUCAUUACCGAUUUUAGCGUGCCUGGUCAUUGACCAUGGUCUCGCGAAAUUUUGUAUUUAAAACCCACACUUGAAUAAUUUUUUUAAAUCAUAUUUUAUGAUAAAAAUAAAGAUCACUUUCAACAACGGAUCUCUUGGCUCUCGCAUCGAUGAAGAACGUAGCGAAGUGCGAUAAGUAAUGUGAAUUGCAGAAUUCCGUGAGUCAUCGAAUCUUUGAACGCAAAUUGCACUCUCUGGUAUUCCGGGGAGUAUGCCUGUUUGAGGGUCAGUUUAAAUAAAAAUCGAUGUGUCGCMUUUGUGACGCUUCGGAAUUGGGYCACCUUGAUCUCUGGGUUAAGAGGCCUAAAAUUGAUACCUUUCCGAGCAUYUUGGACGUACGUAACCUUUCAAGUGCCGGAUCUUUUUACUAGGUAUGACCAUGCUGUGCGUGGCCAUCGUACCUAUAACGUGUACUCAUAUUUGGA